UAGAUGUUGACAUACUAAGCAUCAAAAGUUUGUGACCUAAAAAAAAAAACAAAAAAACUUUGUGACCUGGAAUCAUGACUGUUUCUAUAUAACUUUAAAAUUGGGUUUGAACAUCACCACCUUCUGUAGCUUAACCUCUGCUUCACCUUUCCUUGCCCUGUUCCUUGUUGUUCAGUCACUAACUCGUGUCUCAUCUUUUGUGACCCAUGGACUGUAGCCCACCAGGCUCCUCUAGCUGUUGGAUUUUCCAGGCAAGACUACUGGAGUGGGUUGCCAUUUCCUUCUCCAAUCCUGUUCCUGGGGUCCUAGUCAAAAACUUCCUUUUUCCACUUCCCCUCACCCAGAACCUCAGCCUCAGGAGCCCAGCUGCUUGCUCCUCUCGAGCACCUACUCAUUUCCGGGCACUGUUCUGGGUCCUCGGGAUUUACCAGUGAGAUCUACGAAGAUCAAGGCCCUUCGUGAGCUUCCUUUCUAGCAGAGGAGAGAGACAAUAAAUGUAACUCAAGUUAUUAAUCAGUUGGAUCUCACUUCCCUAACCAGAGAUGAUUGAACCAGUGCCCCCUGCUGGUUCAGGGCAGGAAGUUCAGAGUCUUAACUACUGGACUGCCAGGGAAG
Molecule: long non-coding RNA, 615 nt
Organism: Capra hircus (goat)
Lineage: Eukaryota; Metazoa; Chordata; Mammalia; Artiodactyla; Bovidae
Exons: 3
Source: RefSeq, a predicted model, not a curated record